Molecule: long non-coding RNA, 957 nt
Organism: Hordeum vulgare subsp. vulgare (domesticated barley)
Lineage: Eukaryota; Viridiplantae; Streptophyta; Magnoliopsida; Poales; Poaceae
Exons: 6
Source: RefSeq, a predicted model, not a curated record
UCUCCAAGCACGGGAGCGCACAUGGCGGCCAUGACGGGCAAAGUAGAGAGAAGCCGGCGCGACGGCUGGGAGACGGUCCGGACUGGAUCCCGCCAUCACCACAAGUCACCGCCUCGUCCAUGCACCAAACUGGCUGGAUCGUGGUCCAGCCUAGGGCGCGGUGCUCGAUACAAAGGAUGCGAUGCGGGAUACACAGGAGCGGGCGGUUUGCGUCGAUCGAGUGUUGGCGCGGGAUCCAGCUGAGGUGCUCGAGCAGAGGCACGGGAGGACGAUGCCCUUCCCUUUGUGCCCCCACUCCCGGCGUCGCCGGUCACAUGUAGCCGCCUCUAAACUCCUGGCCCACACGUUGCUUGGGCUGCUUGCAUGUAGACGUCCCCGUCCCUUCAACAAGAGGAAUGAGGCCCUGUUGGAACUACAAGCUACAACCAUCAAUACAGAGAAAGAGGACUUGCGGCCUUUUAUCCCAGUGCCUGAUGUUGCAAGAGUAGCUGUUGAUGUUGGUCCUAGAGCGAAAGUUCUCACAACAGGUCAUCGCCAUGUUGAACUAUUUUAAGGUGGGUGGACUCUCAGAAGGCCAUCUGAGGUUUCUGCAGCUGAGGGUGCUAGGCUUCCCAUUGAUGCAGGCACAACACUAUACACAUUGAGGUCCAUUGGUGCCAAGUUUGCCGGCAUCGGGAAGCCAUUAAACGCAGCGCUGCUUCUCGUGGCGUAGACCUAUACACGGUGCAGCCUGCAAAGCUAGCAACCUUCAUGAUACCGCCACCUGCGACGCCCACAACAUAACUCCGUCUGUCACUGCCCGAUGCCAGUCUCCAUUGAUUUCAUUUCAGAAAAAAGUCUCCCUGGAUACCCUCACCGCCCUAAUCAGAGACCACCGAGGCCGGGAACGACUCUCCAUGGAACCAAGUGGUGACUGGCGGCAAUGGCAAGAGCAUAUUGUGCAGAGGAAGAGGAUAA